AUUGAACGCUGGCGGCAGGCCUAACACAUGCAAGUCGAGCGGAUGAAGGGAGCUUGCUCCUGGAUUCAGCGGCGGACGGGUGAGUAAUGCCUAGGAAUCUGCCUGGCAGUGGGGGAUAACGUCCGGAAACGGGCGCUAAUACCGCAUACGUCCUGAGGUAGAAAGUGGGGGAUCUUCGGACCUCACGCUAUCAGAUGAGCCUAGGUCGGAUUAGCUAGUUGGUGGGGUAAAGGCCUACCAAGGCGACGAUCCGUAACUGGUCUGAGAGGAUGAUCAGUCACACUGGAACUGAGACACGGUCCAGACUCCUACGGGGGGCAGCAGUGGGGAAUAUUGGACAAUGGGCGAAAGCCUGAUCCAGCCAUGCCGCGUGUGUGAAGAAGGUCUUCGGAUUGUAAAGCACUUUAAGUUGGGAGGAAGGGCAGUAAGUUAAUACCUUGCUGUUUUGACGUUACCAACAGAAUAAGCACCGGCUAACUUCGUG
RNAcentral lists this ribosomal RNA (484 nucleotides) under uncultured bacterium. Its description in RNAcentral is "partial 16S ribosomal RNA". It matches the Rfam family "Bacterial small subunit ribosomal RNA", at positions 30 to 507 of the family's 1533-position model. The record is from RNAcentral.